AGUGAACGCUGGCGGUAGUCCUAACACAUGCAAGUCGAACGGCAGCACAGUAAGAGCUUGCUCUUACGGGUGGCGAGUGGCGGACGGGUGAGGAAUACAUCGGAAUCUACUUUUUCGUGGGGGAUAACGUAGGGAAACUUACGCUAAUACCGCAUACGACCUACGGGUGAAAGCAGGGGAUUUUCGAACUUUUGGGGAUGGAUUGAGCCGAGGUCGGAUUAGCUAGUUGGGGGGGUAAGGGCCCACCAAGGCGACGAUCCGUAGCUGGUCUGAGAGGAUGAUCAGCCACACUGGAACUGAGACACGGUCCAGACUCCUACGGGAGGCAGCAGUGGGGAAUAUUGGACAAUGGGCGCAAGCCUGAUCCAGCCAUACCGCGUGGGUGAAGAAGGCCUUCGGGUUGUAAAGCCCUUUUGUUGGGAAAGAAAAGCAGCAGGUUUAUACCCCGAUGUUCUGACGGUACCCAAAGAAUAAGCACCGGCUAACUUCGUG
RNAcentral lists this ribosomal RNA (492 nucleotides) under uncultured bacterium. RNAcentral's name for it is "partial 16S ribosomal RNA". It matches the Rfam family "Bacterial small subunit ribosomal RNA", at positions 29 to 507 of the family's 1533-position model. The record is from RNAcentral.